This 392-nucleotide ribosomal RNA is filed under the name uncultured bacterium. RNAcentral describes it as "bacterial SSU rRNA". It matches the Rfam family "Bacterial small subunit ribosomal RNA", at positions 28 to 420 of the family's 1533-position model. The record is from RNAcentral.
GACGAACGCUGGCGGCGUGCUUAACACAUGCAAGUCGAGCGGUAAGGCCCUUUCGGGGGUACACGAGCGGCGAACGGGUGAGUAACACGUGGGUGACCUGCCCUCAGCUCUGGGAUAAGCCUGGGAAACCGGGUCUAAUACUGGAUAUGACUCCAUGACGCAUGUUGUGGGGUGGAAAGCCUUGUGCGGCUGAGGAUGGGCCCGCGGCCUAUCAGCUUGUUGGUGGGGUGANGGCCUACCAAGGCGACGACGGGUAGCCGGCCUGAGAGGGCGACCGGCCACACUGGGACUGAGACACGGCCCAGACUCCUACGGGAGGCAGCAGUGGGGAAUCUUGCGCAAAUGGGCGAAAGCCUGACGCAGCGACGCCGCGUGAGGGAUGACGGCCUCGG